This 253-nucleotide ribosomal RNA is filed under the name uncultured bacterium. Its description in RNAcentral is "partial 16S ribosomal RNA". It matches the Rfam family "Bacterial small subunit ribosomal RNA", at positions 524 to 776 of the family's 1533-position model. The record is from RNAcentral.
UACGUAGGGGGCAAGCGUUGUCCGGAAUCAUUGGGCGUAAAGAGCGCGUAGGCGGUCCGGUAAGUCCGCUGUGAAAGUCAAGGGCUCAACCCUUGAAUGCCGGUGGAUACUGUCGGGCUAGAGUCCGGAAGAGGCGAGUGGAAUUCCUGGUGUAGCGGUGAAAUGCGCAGAUAUCAGGAGGAACACCAAUGGCGAAGGCAGCUCUCUGGGACGGUACUGACACUGAGACGCGAAAGCGUGGGGAGCGAACAGG